RNAcentral lists this ribosomal RNA (346 nucleotides) under uncultured bacterium. RNAcentral describes it as "partial 16S ribosomal RNA". It matches the Rfam family "Bacterial small subunit ribosomal RNA", at positions 338 to 681 of the family's 1533-position model. The record is from RNAcentral.
CCUACGGGAGGCAGCAGUGAGGAAUAUUGGUCAAUGGCCGGAAGGCUGAACCAGCCAUGCCGCGUGAAGGGCAGGGGCCUAGGGGCGUUAAACGUCUUUUGUGCGGGAGCAAGAAUGGUCACGUGGGGCCAGACGAGAGUACCGUAAGAAGAAGCAGCGGCUACCUCCGGGCCAGAAGCCGCGGUAAUACGGGGGAUGCAAGCGUUAUCCGGCUUGAUUGGGUUUCAAGGGUGCGGCGGCUGGGAGGUAAGGCAGCGGUGCAUUGCCCCCGCUCCACGGGGUGAAGUGCCAUUGAUACUGCCUUGCUGGCCUGCGGAUGCCGUGGGCGGCAUGUGUGGUGUAGCGG